This 26-nucleotide non-coding RNA is filed under the name Mus musculus (house mouse). Lineage: Eukaryota; Metazoa; Chordata; Mammalia; Rodentia; Muridae. The record is from RNAcentral.
UAGCAGCCCCAUUUCAUCAUGGUCCC